This 792-nucleotide ribosomal RNA is filed under the name uncultured bacterium. RNAcentral's name for it is "bacterial SSU rRNA". It matches the Rfam family "Bacterial small subunit ribosomal RNA", at positions 8 to 793 of the family's 1533-position model. The record is from RNAcentral.
AGAGUUUGAUCCUGGCUCAGAUUGAACGCUGGCGGCAUGCUUUACACAUGCAAGUCGAACGGCAGCACGGGUGCUUGCACCUGGUGGCGAGUGGCGAACGGGUGAGUAAUGCAUCGGAACGUACCCAGUCGUGGGGGAUAACGCACCGAAAGGUGUGCUAAUACCGCAUACGUCCUGAGGGAGAAAGCGGGGGACCGAAAGGCCUCGCGCGAUUGGAGCGGCCGAUGUCUGAUUAGCUAGUUGGUGGGGUAAAGGCCCACCAAGGCGACGAUCAGUAGCGGGUCUGAGAGGAUGAUCCGCCACACUGGAACUGAGACACGGUCCAGACUCCUACGGGAGGCAGCAGUAGGGAAUAUUGGACAAUGGGCGCAAGCCUGAUCCAGCCAUGCCGCGUGAGUGAAGAAGGCCUUCGGGUUGUAAAGCUCUUUUGUCCGGAAAGAAAAGCUUCGGGUCAAUACCCCGGAGUCCUGACGGUACCGGAAGAAUAAGCACCGGCUAACUUCGUGCCAGCAGCCGCGGUAAUACGAAGGGUGCAAGCGUUACUCGGAAUUACUGGGCGUAAAGCGUGCGUAGGUGGUUUGUUAAGUCUGAUGUGAAAGCCCUGGGCUCAACCUGGGAAUGGCAUUGGAUACUGGCAGGCUAGAGUGCGGUAGAGGGUAGUGGAAUUCCCGGUGUAGCAGUGAAAUGCGUAGAGAUCGGGAGGAACAUCUGUGGCGAAGGCGACUACCUGGACCAGCACUGACACUGAGGCACGAAAGCGUGGGGAGCAAGCAGGAUUAGAUACCCUGGUAG